GACGAACGCUGGCGGCGUGCUUAACACAUGCAAGUCGAACGGAAAGGCCUGCUUUCCCUUGUGGAUUGCGGGUACUCGCGUGGCGAACGGGUGAGUAACACGUGAGUGAUCUGCCCCCAACUUGGGUAUAAGCCUGGGAAACUGGGUCUAAUUCCCGAUAGGACUGCAGGGUGGUGCCUGUGGUGGAAAACGAUUUUCUAGUGGUUGGGGAUGAGCUCGCGGCCUAUCAGCUUGUUGGUGGGGUACUGGCCUACCAAGGCGGCGACGGGUAGCCGGCCUGGGGGGGUCGACGGCCACAUUGGGACUGAGAUACGGCCCAGACUCCUACGGGAGGCAGCCGUGGGGAAUAUUGCACAGUGGGCGGAAGCCUGAGGCAGCGACGCCGAGUGGGGGAUGACGGCCUUCGGGUGGUAAACUCCUUUCGACCGCGAGGAAGCCACCUGGUUGGAAGGGUGGUGACGGUAGUGGUAGAAGAAGCACCGGCUAACUACGUG
This 494-nucleotide ribosomal RNA is filed under the name uncultured bacterium. RNAcentral describes it as "partial 16S ribosomal RNA". It matches the Rfam family "Bacterial small subunit ribosomal RNA", at positions 28 to 507 of the family's 1533-position model. The record is from RNAcentral.